GGAUUAGAUACCCUGGUAGUCCACGCCGUAAACGGUGGGCGCUAGUUGUGCGAACCUUCCACGGUUUGUGCGACGCAGCUAACGCAUUAAGCGCCCCGCCUGGGGAGUACGAUCGCAAGAUUAAAACUCAAAGGAAUUGACGGGGCCCCGCACAAGCAGCGGAGCAUGCGGCUUAAUUCGACGCAACGCGAAGAACCUUACCAAGGCUUGACAUAUACAGGAAUACGGCAGAGAUGUCGUAGCCGCAAGGUCUGUAUACAGGUGGUGCAUGGUUGUCGUCAGCUCGUGUCGUGAGAUGUUGGGUUAAGUCCCGCAACGAGCGCAACCCUCGUUCUGUGUUGCCAGCAUUUAGUUGGGGACUCACAGGAGACUGCCGGGGUUAACUCGGAGGAAGGUGGGGAUGACGUCAAAUCAUCAUGCCCCUUAUGUCUUGGGCUGCACGCAUGCUACAAUGGCUGGUACAAACGGCUGCAAUACCGCAAGGUGGAGCGAAUCCGAGAAAGCCAGUCUCAGUUCGGAUUGGGGUCUGCAACUCGACCCCAUGAAGUCGGAGUUGCUAGUAAUCGUAGAUCAGCAACGCUACAGGUGAAUACGUUCCCGGGGCUUGUACACACCGCCCGUCACAUCACGA
Molecule: ribosomal RNA, 631 nt
Filed under: uncultured Actinomycetes bacterium
Lineage: Bacteria; Bacillati; Actinomycetota; Actinomycetes
Description: bacterial SSU rRNA
Rfam family: Bacterial small subunit ribosomal RNA
Source: RNAcentral